RNAcentral lists this ribosomal RNA (253 nucleotides) under uncultured bacterium. RNAcentral describes it as "partial 16S ribosomal RNA". It matches the Rfam family "Bacterial small subunit ribosomal RNA", at positions 524 to 776 of the family's 1533-position model. The record is from RNAcentral.
UACAGAGGGUGCAAGCGUUGUCCGGAAUUAUUGGGCGUAAAGAGCUCGUAGGUGGCCUGUCGCGUCGGCUGUGAAAACUCGGGGCUCAACUCCGAGCUUGCAGUCGAUACGGGCAGGCUAGAGUUCGGCAGGGGAGACUGGAAUUCCUGGUGUAGCGGUGAAAUGCGCAGAUAUCAGGAGGAACACCGGUGGCGAAGGCGGGUCUCUGGGCCGAUACUGACACUGAGGAGCGAAAGCGUGGGGAGCGAACAGG